RNAcentral lists this ribosomal RNA (497 nucleotides) under uncultured bacterium. RNAcentral's name for it is "partial 16S ribosomal RNA". It matches the Rfam family "Bacterial small subunit ribosomal RNA", at positions 28 to 507 of the family's 1533-position model. The record is from RNAcentral.
GAUGAACGCUGGCGGCGUGCCUAAUACAUGCAAGUCGAGCGAACGGACGAGAAGCUUGCUUCUCUGAUGUUAGCGGCGGACGGGUGAGUAACACGUGGAUAACCUACCUAUAAGACUGGGAUAACUUCGGGAAACCGGAGCUAAUACCGGAUAAUAUUUUGAACCGCAUGGUUCAAAAGUGAAAGACGGUCUUGCUGUCACUUAUAGAUGGAUCCGCGCUGCAUUAGCUAGUUGGUAAGGUAACGGCUUACCAAGGCAACGAUGCAUAGCCGACCUGAGAGGGUGAUCGGCCACACUGGAACUGAGACACGGUCCAGACUCCUACGGGAGGCAGCAGUAGGGAAUCUUCGGCAAUGGGCGAAAGCCUGACGGAGCAACGCCGCGUGAGUGAUGAAGGUCUUCGGAUCGUAAAACUCUGUUAUUAGGGAAGAACAUAUGUGUAAGUAACUGUGCACAUCAUGACGGUACCUAAUCAGAAAGCCACGGCUAACUACGUG